AGGGCAGCUACCCAGCGAUGGGAUGCGAAUCUCGAAAGCCUGUCUCAGUUCGGAUUGGAGGCUGAAACCCGCCUCCAUGAAGUUGGAUUCGCUAGUAAUCGCGCAUCAGCCAUGGCGCGGUGAAUACGUUCCCGGGCCUUGUACACACCGCCCGUCAAGCCAUGGAAGCUGGGGGUGCCUGAAGUUCGUGACCGGAAGGAGCGACCUAGGGCAAAACCGGUGACUGGGGCUAAGUCGUAACAAGGUAGC
Molecule: ribosomal RNA, 249 nt
Filed under: uncultured bacterium
Lineage: Bacteria
Description: partial 16S ribosomal RNA
Rfam family: Bacterial small subunit ribosomal RNA
Source: RNAcentral